RNAcentral lists this ribosomal RNA (253 nucleotides) under uncultured bacterium. Its description in RNAcentral is "partial 16S ribosomal RNA". It matches the Rfam family "Bacterial small subunit ribosomal RNA", at positions 524 to 776 of the family's 1533-position model. The record is from RNAcentral.
UACGAAGGGGGCUAGCGUUGCUCGGAAUCACUGGGCGUAAAGGGCGCGUAGGCGGACAGCUAAGUCAGGGGUGAAAUCCCGAGGCUCAACCUCGGAAUUGCCCUUGAUACUGGUUGUCUUGAGAUCGGAAGAGGUAAGUGGAAUUGCGAGUGUAGAGGUGAAAUUCGUAGAUAUUCGCAGGAACACCAGUGGCGAAGGCGACUUACUGGUCCGUAUCUGACGCUGAGGCGCGAAAGCGUGGGGAGCAAACAGG